This 6726-nucleotide long non-coding RNA is filed under the name Sus scrofa (pig). RNAcentral describes it as "lncRNA (ENSSSCG00015051668.1)". Lineage: Eukaryota; Metazoa; Chordata; Mammalia; Artiodactyla; Suidae. The record is from RNAcentral.
UUUUUUUUUUUUUUUGUCUUUUGUCUUUGUUGUUGUUGUUGUUGUUGCUAUUUCUUGGGCCGCUCCCGCGGCAUAUGGAGGUUCCAAGGCUAGGGGUUGAAUCGGAGCUGUAGCUCCUGGCCUACACCAGAGCCACAACAACGCGGGAUCCGAGCCGCGUCUGCAACCUACACCACAGCUCACGGCAACGCCGGAUUGUUAACCCACUGAGCAAGGGCAGGGACCGAACCCGCAACCUCAUGGUUCCUAGUCGGAUUCGUUAACCACUGCGCCACGACAGGAACUCCAAAAACCACUAUUCUUAAGAGUACAAAUUUGGUUAAAUGAAAGAUUUACAAAGAAUUGAAAACUGGGAAGGAAAAAAUAAAUCAAAUGAAAAGCACUGAGUGUCAUGGAGAAAAAAACCACAAAAGUACUUCAGAAAUCUUCCAUAUCUUCCCCUGACUUGACUUCAAGCCAAAGUAAAAUUUUAAGUCCUAAUUCCUCUGGGAAAUGAUAAGAAUGUCCUGAAGUAGAACCUGACUUUGAUCUGGAAGGAGAAGAUUUAAAUAUAAUUUUUUCGAUGCCACAUGCCCUCUGUAAACUAUUAUUUCUCACCUCUUUCAGAGCCAAACCUUUUUUUUGGGGCCAUGCCCAUAGCUAAGAUAUACUUUUGUAUGUUACCCUUUAAGCAACUGCUUUAUUUUAGCAUGUUUAAAACUUAAAAUAAGUUUUUAUUGCAGUUCCCUGGUGGCCUAGCUGGGAAAAGAUCCUGUGUUGUCACUGAUGUGGCACUGGCUGCAGCUGUGGCGUGGGUUCAGUCCCUGGCCCAUGAACUUCUGUAUGCUGUGGGCAAAGCCAAAAAAAUAAACUUUGGGGACAAUUGCUAAGAAACUAUGAAAGAUCCAAUGUAAUACAACAUUAAUGGUUAAGUCUGGUAAUGCAGGGUAAAGAAGGAGUAAAGCUGAGUUUUUCUUUGGCUCAAAGUGAAGAAAAAAAUAGGUUAGGUUAUGUCAAGGAUUAUGGUUCCUGAGUUUUACCUUCUGGUGGUGGAGUUGCUCAAAACAAGUCCCUAGGCUAUUCCAUUUGUAACCACUUAUGUGCCAAAUUCAUCAAAUCGUGAGUUAAGGGUAAGGAGGGUGACUGAUGAGCAUUUCCUAAAGUGUUUAAGACAGAACUGAGGAUUCACCUUUACAGCAAGUUCAAAAACAUGGGGCAUCAUCAGAGUCCAUAUCAUAUUAAUUACGAAUAGUACCUACUUACAUAACUGCUUACAAUUGUGUAUCUCUGUAGUUUCCAUGAGUGGCUAUAUUCACGAACAUAUUUAUAUUGGACUAAAUUUAUAUACUUGUUCUUGAAAUGAUUUCCAGUGCCGCUUUAUCCAAACCCAUUAAAAACUGAGAAAAACUGUAGGAGGGCUCACUUUUCUGAUUAAUCAUUAGCUACUGACAUUUCGAUUUUACAUCUUGACCUUGGGAUAUUUACUGCAUUUACCUUUUGCAGCAACUAAAUCCAGGAGCUAAAAUUAUGUCAACUUCUUACAAACACAACAGUGGGUCAACUAAAACAAGAUUAGAAAACAAGUAUUAGUUUUCUGAAUAUCGUUAACACAAAGUAAACUGUUCAAAAUAUGAAAUAUUAUAGUUUUCAGAAUGAGUUAAAGGUAUUCUCUGGAGAAACUCCAACUGCUGAUUGUUUGGCAUGCUCAUCUGUGUCCACUUUAGAAAUACAUACUAUAGGAGUUUCCCUGUGGCACAGCAGGGUAAGGACUCCAGGAUGUCACUGCUGAGAUCCCUAGCCCAGGAACUUCCACAUGUCCCAGGCAAGGGCCAAAACAAAACAAAAAACCCUCCAGAAAUAUACACCAUAGCAGAACUUAACUCAAUAUAAGGUUAUAAUACAUAUACAUGUUGGUUUUUUUGUCUUUUUAGGGCCACAACCAAGGCAUAUGGAGGUUCCCAGCUCAGGGGUUUAAUUGGAGCUGUAGCUGCUGGCCUACGCCACAGCCACAGCCACGCCAGAUCUAAGCCAUGUUUGCAACCUACACCACAGCUCACCGCAACUCACCGCAACACUGGAUCCUUAACCCACUAAGUGAGGCCAGGGAUCAAACCUGCGUCCUCAUGGAUGUUAGUCAGAUUUGUUUCCGCUGAGCCACAACAGGAACUCCCAUAAGGUUACGAUAUAAUGAGAACUUUUGUUAAAAUGUUCUUCAUUUUCUCCCUUAAGUUUGGUUAUCUUAACUCAAUUCUGUGAUCAGGUUAAAAUAAUUUUUACUUUAACUGCUGGGUUUACAUCACCUUUCAUUUCUGAGAAUGUUAAGAAAAUUGAUUUGAUCUGGGAAGAGAUACAGAAAGGCAGAUAACUAAUAGUUCUCUUGCAUUGAAUAGCCUGAAAUAUAAAAGCAUUAUUUUAGAACUUUUUGAGGCAUGAAACAAUUCUAACAUUUUUUUUAUGAUUUAGAAUAUCAUCUUAUUUAUUUAUUCUUUUUACCGCCACACCUGUGGCAUAUGGAAGUUCCUAGGCUAGGGGUCAAAUCAGAGCUGCAGCUGGGGCUUGUGACAUAGCUGAAUCUGUGAUCUAAGUUGUAGCUUGUGGCAAUGCUAGAUCCUUACCCAAGUGAAUGAGGUUAUGAAGCAACCGACAACCUCACAGAGACAACGGGUCCUUAACUUGCUAAGCCAUAACGGGAACUCUAAAUAUCAUCUUUUGGAGAAUUUAUAGUGAUUCUUAAUGAAGGGAGACAGGGUCUAAUUUUCAUAAUCAAUUGUGGGCCUUUUUUGAACUACACAGGUACACAAGCAAAAUUUUAUUGUUAUGUAAUUUUUUCCACUUCAGCCACCCCAGGCCCUAAGAUGAUCUCAGUAACAGGAAUUUUACAUUCCUUAUGUGGUAUGGGUUAAAAAAAACCCCUGCUGCCCUGUAUCACUUUAUCAGAGGAAAAAACUGGAAAUGUAUUCUACUAAGAAUUCGGUCAUUGAAGUAUGACUUACCAAUAACUCACUAAGAGUUCAUCUGAGGUAAUCCCUGUCUUUAUGUCCUAAGUACUCGAGACAACUUUUUAAAAACUUAAAAAAAUCCACAACAAACUUACAAGUUCCAAGGUCCAAGGUCCUCUACUAGAUGCUUCGCAUAACUCUGUUUAAUCCUCACCAAGAGGCUGCUACUACCACUGAAGCUUAAAAUGUUACUAAUUUCUGUAAAAAACUAGCAAGCCAUUUAAUAUAGAUUUGAAACUGAAGCAGCAGGGAUCCAGAGGCCACUAAUAUGGUUUAAGACACUAAAGUCAGCUUUACAUAACCAUUUCCAAGAGGACCUUCCUCCUCUAAAGGAGGAGGAUUCAUUAAGGGUUGGAUUCUUGGGGCUGCUUUAAAAUUUUUAUAUAGUUGCUCUCUUUCUCAUGUUUUUAUUCUUCAGCAGUUAUGGAUGAAAGACUGCUAAGAAUUUUGAAUAUAAAGAUCACAAAUUUAGUAACUGAGUCAAAAUAUCUGGAGCUAAAAAAAGGACACUCAUAUUAUUAUAUAUCAUGCACCCAAACACCACAAAUACUACAAUAACAUCAAUAAGUUUUUAAAAAUCAGGGUUUAGGGCAAGGAGUUACUAAAGCAAAAUUAUUUUCAGAAAAUUCUCAUGUCCAGAUACUUGUUUCUUUUAAAUAUCUGUUACUUUACCAUAACUGUCACAGCUUUGCACUCUUACUGACCAAGUGUCUCUUAUGAUCAGACUUUCUUAGUAUUAGACUAAACCUUCACUCUAAGAAAUCUCCAGGAAGCUACCAUCUUCUCCAGGAACUACCAUGUAUAAAUUGAUCCUUAGGUCAUCUAUACAUCUUCAAAAUACAUUUAUGAGUACAAUUAGUAAUAAAAUAUUUGCUAAAACUUUUGUUAUUGUGUGACACACCACAAAAAAUACGGGAUGUGGAGGGCUGCUCUACUCUACCUCUGUACACUCACCUACAGUAUUUUAAAAAUACACAACAGCUGGUUACAACCCUGGAGAAUAAUUCAGCUAGGAUGCGUGGGCAAUAAGCUAAACACUUCUAGAGUUCUAUAGGCAAUCCAGACACUUAGCCCCGUUGCAAAAACCCUUGCUCUAACAGAAGUAACUCAAUACUCUUUUAACAAGCUAUUUAUAAUACAAAUCAAAUUUUGAGAGGUAGAAAGAAGGUAGGUUUCUUUAUCUACUGAAGGCAUUUCUAAUUUCACUUUUCCUAAUCCAAGUUUUCUCCAGGACACUGAGGUUAUUCUUUCAGAAGCUGGCAUCACCAACUUCUCGAAUACUAGUGUUGUAAAUAAAAUUGCUAUGGAGUGCCAGGAUUCUUUUUUCCUAAGAGUCAUGGGGUUGUUUUUAGGGCUAUUAACUAGAUUUGUCUCAUUUCUUUAUGGUUAGAUGUUCAAUGACUAUAAGGCUGGAAAAAUUUCUAAUUACCCAAACAUAUGACGAAUUAAAGAAAUCACUGCAUUAUACAAGUCGCGUUUCUCACAUAUACUAUUUCUGAGAAAUCUGCUGGGUUCCAUUUCCUUCACAAAUUUGUCUUCCACAGUAACUCAAAUUGAGGUUAUUGCUUAUAUAAAGAAGUAUCUUACAAAAUAAAGUUUGUCUAAGACAUAAAAACACUCCUGAUUCACCAAGCCCUAAAAAUAAUCUGUAAGAAUGUGAAACUAAGUCUAAAUGUAAAUCUGUUCAGUUUAUCUCUAUUAAGCUUAAAAUACCACAGUUAUACUGAAGAUGAGAAAGAAAAUGGUAAAGAUUUUUUCCUUUUCCUAUACUUACCAACAUUACUUGCAAAGGUUAUUUCUGGAUAACAAAUAAUUUCAUGAGCCUUUCUCAUUAUUGUAUUCAUGGACAAGUGAGACUAAUACAUAUUACCUUUGUUUAAAAAUGAAACAGGAGUUCCCAUCGUGGCACACUGGAAACAAAUCCGACUAGGAACCAUGAGGUUGCGGGUUUGAUCCCUGGACUUCUCGCUAAGUGGGUUAAGGAUCCAGCGUUGCCUUGAGCUAUGGUGUAUGUUGCAGACUUGGCUGGGAUCUGGAAUGGCUGUGGUGUAGGCUGGCAGGUGUAGCUCUGAUUCGACCCCUAGCCUGGGAACCUCCAUAUGCCACGGGUAUGGCCCUAAAAAGCAAAAAACAAACAAAAAACAGACCUGGAGUUCCUGUCGUGGCACAGCAGAAACAAAUCCGACUAGUAACCAUGAGAAUGCGGGUUCAAUCCCUGGCCUUGCUCAGUAAGUCAGUUAUCGGGUGUUGCCGUGAACUGCAGUUUAUGUCCCAGAGGUGAUGUAGGCCAGCAGCUACAGCUCUAAACCCCUAGCCUGAGAAUUGACAUGUUCUGUGGGUGUGGCCCUAAAAAGCAAAAAAAAAAAAGAAAAAAAAAAAAAAAAAAAAAAAAGAAAAGAAAAGAAACAAACCUACUUAUCUGAUUUAUCUGCAGCAUGACAUAUAUAAGAUCAUUCUUCAGAAAACUCUUUUUGUAAUUGUCAUCUGCAUACAUCUGGGUGAUGUUUCUACCAUGUUUUUGUCUUUUGUAAUCACUCUGCCUAGCCUUUCUUUGAUAUAAUCCAUUUAUCAGCAAUAAUUUUAACUCCUAACAGGUGAAGUGCAUAGCUCUACCGACCCAGUAAUUCAUUACUUUUGUUUUCACAAUAACAUGCAAAAUGAAACGUUUAACAGCACAAAUAUAUCAGCAUUUUUAGCCCUUCAGACACUUUCAGGAAGAAAUUUCCCAUCUUUUCAUAGUGUAGAUAGACUCUGAAAAAAAAACACACAGCAUUGUUUUAGUAACUGGAAAAAAAAUCACAGUUCAUUUGAGACACUGGGCAAAAUUACUUGAUCUCAGUUACUUAGUUUAAAAGAAAAUCAGUUCCUAAAGUAGUCGUAUAUAUGGAGUUCUACAAAUUAAACACUAAAUGUAUUUUUAAAAUAGCGAUCCAUGCUACCGAAGAUCCAGUCUUCGCAGUAUUUUUAAGCAUACACCCUAAGUUUCUUCAAAUGCCGCUACAUUCCGGAACCAAACGCCAGCCUUAAACAGGUAUUCCCUUACAACAUCUGCCUGCCUUCGCGGGCACGUAUGAAGAUGUUUUAAACCAAGUUUAUUUACUUCCGUAGGAUUCAGUCCCUGUCACUUCUUUACUGCAGGCCCAAAGCAUCGUCCUUUUUCCAGCUCAGCUAUCGUCCAACAUCGAUUUCUUUGGAACCUUUUCCAAAUCAUCUCUGUAUGAAAAACCAGUGAAGGUGCAACACCUUGGGAAGGAUUAAGGCUGGCUGGAGAAUGAAUGACAAGAUAAAAAAUAAAUUUGGGAAGGGCAGCCCAAUUCUGUAGGUGGAAUCUUCUCCGACCAAAGGUGAGAGUGGCCACGCCGGGUCCCCGCAUCUACCAAAAAACACAACCGCCCCGACUAUCCUGUUUACGGUGCUCUGAGACCAGGAGACAAACUCCCUCAAUCCCUUAAUUAUAAACGGUGCAAGUGACAGGGACCAAUACCUGCAGGACCCUGAGGCCGAGGCCCACUCGGCCUCUGAUGCCGCCACUAGCCGGGCUCGUCCGACUCAGUCCCCAGGUACCGCUUCCAGCCCCUCCCACCCCGGUACCCAGGUUCGGAACCCCAGGCUCUUCGGCCCGCUUGUCCUCCUCCUCACCGUCCCCUCUGCACCACCUCUCGGCUCCCGCGUUCCCUAAAACCUCAGCCGGCGCGGCGGAACCUUCCCCGCGCUCCUAACAUGGCGGCCGAGUCCCCUUUACUCCCUU